This 1034-nucleotide ribosomal RNA is filed under the name Xanthomonas citri pv. mangiferaeindicae (agent of mango bacterial black spot). Its description in RNAcentral is "bacterial SSU rRNA". It matches the Rfam family "Bacterial small subunit ribosomal RNA", at positions 36 to 1060 of the family's 1533-position model. Lineage: Bacteria; Pseudomonadati; Pseudomonadota; Gammaproteobacteria; Lysobacterales; Lysobacteraceae. The record is from RNAcentral.
CCAUGCGGCAGCUACCAUGCAGUCGAACGGCAGCACAGUAAGAGCUUGCUCUUAUGGGUGGCGAGUGGCGGACGGGUGAGGAAUACAUCGGAAUCUACUCUUUCGUGGGGGAUAACGUAGGGAAACUUACGCUAAUACCGCAUACGACCUACGGGUGAAAGCGGAGGACCUUCGGGCUUCGCGCGGUUGAAUGAGCCGAUGUCGGAUUAGCUAGUUGGCGGGGUAAAGGCCCACCAAGGCGACGAUCCGUAGCUGGUCUGAGAGGAUGAUCAGCCACACUGGAACUGAGACACGGUCCAGACUCCUACGGGAGGCAGCAGUGGGGAAUAUUGGACAAUGGGCGCAAGCCUGAUCCAGCCAUGCCGCGUGGGUGAAGAAGGCCUUCGGGUUGUAAAGCCCUUUUGUUGGGAAAGAAAAGCAGUCGGUUAAUACCCGAUUGUUCUGACGGUACCCAAAGAAUAAGCACCGGCUAACUUCGUGCCAGCAGCCGCGGUAAUACGAAGGGUGCAAGCGUUACUCGGAAUUACUGGGCGUAAAGCGUGCGUAGGUGGUGGUUUAAGUCUGUUGUGAAAGCCCUGGGCUCAACCUGGGAAUUGCAGUGGAUACUGGGUCACUAGAGUGUGGUAGAGGGUAGCGGAAUUCCCGGUGUAGCAGUGAAAUGCGUAGAGAUCGGGAGGAACAUCCGUGGCGAAGGCGGCUACCUGGAUCAACACUGACACUGAGGCACGAAAGCGUGGGGAGCAAACAGGAUUAGAUACCCUGGUAGUCCACGCCCUAAACGAUGCGAACUGGAUGUUGGGUGCAAUUUGGCACGCAGUAUCGAAGCUAACGCGUUAAGUUCGCCGCCUGGGGAGUACGGUCGCAAGACUGAAACUCAAAGGAAUUGACGGGGGCCCGCACAAGCGGUGGAGUAUGUGGUUUAAUUUCGAUGCAACGCGAAGAACCUUACCUGGUCUUGACAUCCACGGAACUUUCCAGAGAUGGAUUGUGCCUUCGGGAACCGUGAGACAGGUGCUGCAUGGCUGUCGUCAGCU